Long non-coding RNA from Vespula vulgaris, 5522 nucleotides. RefSeq lists it as uncharacterized. The transcript is spliced from 6 exons. Lineage: Eukaryota; Metazoa; Arthropoda; Insecta; Hymenoptera; Vespidae. The record is from RefSeq and is a predicted model, not a curated record.
AUCAAAAGGUAAGCGGCUUCGGUCAGAGGGUAUAAUCGAUUGAGUCCGGACAGGUCCUUCGAAGGGACAUCCAAUGGUUCGUGCGGAUCGUGGGUCAAAGUGAAAUUUUUACUUUAAUGAGGGUAUAUUCCUUUGUAAGAAAGAAGAUUUCUUCGCGGAAUCUUUUUUGAUUACAUCUUGUUCCACCCUCAGAAGAAUUCAAAGCAGUCGAAAAGGGAAAAUGGAGAUCAAUCCUAACGUUAACAGUGUUCUUGGAUAUCGAACUAAUGUUAAUUUGGAUAGCAUUUAGUUAGAAAGUUAUAUAUACCGUAAUAAUAUUUAUUUCAAUGCCAUGAGUGAGAUUAGGAACGGCAAAGAAAAUAUUAAGGCGAAUUAUUCCAAAAAAGAUUUGCGAAUCCAUGUCGAAGAUGAAGAAGAAGAAAAAGGUGAUACAGGGGAUGAAGAAGUCGAAGGGAGCGAUCGAUAAAGUUGAAGCAAAAGACCAUGUUGCAAUACGCAGAUAUCCAAAGUCGAUUAUACCAUAUGAUAAUUAAAAAGGGAAAAAUAUUCAUCGAGAAAUCAAUUUCCCCUUAAUCCAUGUCCCACUAGGCUCUUUCGGCUCGUUAGAUCGCGUAAUAGUAAAUUUUAAUCGACUUACAUAAAUCGUGUUCAAAUGAAAUACGUAAAAGAGAAAAAGAUAAUAUUACGAAAAAAAAAUUGUCUUCUCUGAAUACAAUCUUCAUUACAACGUCAUAAAAAAAGAGAGAUAUGUAAAAAAAGAGAGUGUUAACUUAAGUAAUAGAAGAAGAAUAGAAAAUAAUAUUACGAAAAAAAUUGUCAAACAAUAUUUUUUACUCAAAAUUAAUUUUUAUUGAUAUAUACUUUAACGUCAAGAACAGGAAGAAAUUUUCAAAAUUCUUUAGUUAACUUCUAAUUUCAGACUGUGAAAAGUAGGAACGAAAGAAGAACAUAGAAAAAAAGAAUAAUUAUUCAUCGAAUCAAUAAAUAUCAAUAGAGAAAUUCAUUUCCUCAGAGCUUAUGACCUUUUUGGUUCUUUCAAUCGUAUGAUAGGAAAUAUUGAUUAACCUACAUAAAACCCUGUGCAGAGGGUUCCCUCCUGGUCGUUAGGUAAACUACCCAAAGGGAUUUGUGGGGUAUGAAUUGCCUGUAAGAAUAUGGCGAUAAAGCUGUGCGUCAUUCCUUCGGAAUUUAUCGAACUAGAAAUACGUGAGCGAGUGUCGUACAAGAAAUAUUUGUUACGUGUGUACUUCAUACGUUCCAAAGGGUAGUUUUACAAGGAGUUCAAGCGGUGGAAACAAUUUCUUCGUUUUCACUAGUCUUGUGUUUCUGUUAUCAAUGUAAGAGAUAUACUAAAGGAAACGAAGGCGGAAGCAGGAAAAGUUCCAAUAGCUUGCAAGUAUUACAAAGGCCCGAGUUGAGGGAUAUUUGAAUUAUAAUUCCAAACAAGAUAUACGAAAUUUCACUACCUCGUGUUAAUGAAGUAUUCUAUAUCCGAAGUGAAACAUAUUUACUUUGGCCUGUUCUUCCUUAUAUCCGGCGAUAACUCCUACAUGGAUAGUACAAAUGCAAUCAAUCAGAUUAUGAUAUGAAAACGUUUUUCUGUUUCUUCUUAUAUUUCAGUGGAAAAUCAGUCAAUGGUUUGUUUAUCGAAUUUUAGAGAUAAGAUUUUAUGAUAGCGACGAGAAUAUUUCUAUUAAUGAGUUGGACAUUAAGUCUCUUAACUCUAGCUGGCAUAUAUGUAUUAUAUUAAUGUGUAUAAUUCAAGAACCCAUAUAUUUUUCACCUUUGUAAAGAAGAAUAUUUGAUAUGGGAAGCAAGAUGUUCGAUGAAAGAGAGGAGAUCGUAAAAGGGGCGGAGGUAGCUGACGCUGCUCACGAAUUUAUUAAAAAACUUGUAAACGAUAUGGAACUCAAGUUGAUGAGAGAGGCACCAUAUUAUCCGACGUAUAGAAGUAAACAUGUUGCUACUGGUAGAGCAUUACUCUAGCAACCAUCGACAUCAAUAUUGAAUUUUAAUAAACGAGAGUGCAUUGGAUCGUGUAAUUAGAAGAGCGGUUCAAGAUGCAGAUAGAAUUUUAACCAAGGAAGGAACAUCGUUAGCGAUAGUUCAUGUAUGCAUUAUGUGAUUGGGAAUACCUAGGAAGAGGAAAAAGAAGAAAAAACAUUUGUGCUUUACGACGAAGUUUGGAAAGACCAUUAGGGCGUUAGUUUAAAAAGCGUCGGAAGGUAGUACGAGGAAAUGGGAGGGAUUUACUUCUUCCAAAGGAUCCAAACGUAAGCGGCUUUAGUUGGAGGGUAUACGCGAUUGUACGUAGAAUGAUUUUUUAAGGGAUCGUACGAUGUUCCAUGCGGGUCAUGGAUCGAAGGGGAAUGGAAAUGAAACUGAGGGAGGUUUAUCAUACAAAAUAAUUUAACAUACAGGGACGAUUAAAAGAUUCAAAAUUUUUGGAAAUAAUAACGAUAGCAGGAGUAUACUUUUAAAUUAUACGUGAAAUAAAAAGUCCACGUUCGCAUCAUCGUUAUUCCAUCGAUAUAAAUUAAGUAACAGUUCGCUAUAAUUAAAAAAGGAGAAAUGUUGAAUCCCAUGUUUCAAAUUGUUUGUCAUCAUAUUCACGACAUGUAGUUAAAAAAUAUUCGUAAUAUAAAACGGUGAGAUGAACGUACCCUGAAUAUUUACCGCAAAAUUUAAGUCUCCCGAGCUAACAGCACAAUUUCAAUAGGAAACUUCAGUGAAACACGGAUUUUCCAAACAGUAGCAGUGCAAACACUCGAUCCGCCCAAAUCACUCUCUAACUGUGUGGUUCUCUCGAAGAGGAAAUACGUGAAACAGAGGAUGGUGAGAUGAGGAAAUAAAGAAAUAUGACAAGAGAUUUUCUCCGAAUACAUUUUUUCUAUUAUCGUGCAAUAAUGGAAAUGAAUUCUAGGAUAACUUAAGCAAUAUAUAUUUGUUUACGAGAUAAGAAAGUGAUAUUUGAAGAAAAUGUUUUUAAGGAAUAUUGAAGUAGAUGUAACUUCCUACGAAAAAAUGUUUUAACAACAAAAUAUUUUAUAAUAAGAAUUAUAUAGUAUGAAAAUUGUAAUACCCGUAAUAUGAAAUAAUAUUAGAACACUAUUUUUAAGUAUGACUUAAACUUACGAAAGAAGAAACAUUACAUAUUUCGUAUAUGAUAUUACGAUUACUUUCUAGAAAUUAACGUUGAUAAUUACAAUAAUUAUUAUUUUUGAUGUUAUUAUUAAAAUAAUUUGAAAUUAUUAAUACAAAAAUCAUUAAUAAUAAUUACUUAUAUUAUAUAUAAUUACAGUUUUACUUGCAUAUUGCAAUUAAAAAAGAGAAAAGUAACUAUCAAUUUCGUUAGAAGAUUCCAAGUUUUAUGAAAUAAUUUUUCAAGUGCAUAAAGGAAAUAAAAAUAUAACAACAUAGUUACAGGAGAGGGGAAAUUUUUCAUCCCCAAACUAGAAAAUUAAAAUCUAGGAAUCUUGGUCUUCUAACGAGAUGACGUGGGAUUAAUUUAACCAGGGGAAGUCAUUCCUUCCGUGAUUUUCGACCCAGUAAUACGCAAGUGUGUGUCAUACGCGAAAUAAUCCCUUGCUGUCAUAAGUGGCAAACAACAGCAUUACAAAUAAUAGCAACGAUUGAAACACCUUUAUCACUAAUCAUUCUAUUAUUCCAUUAAUAUUCUUUAAAUUUAGCAUUACAUUUGUAUAAGAUUUAUUAGAAAAUACCAUUUCCAUAUUAUAGAAGUUACCGGAUAAUUACUCCAAUUUGGGAUUCAUACCAUUUAGAAUAUUUGAGAUAAAUUCACUUAUAAAUAAUAAUACUUUCUUCGGCUGCAUAUAAUCUACGAAAAUAUUCAAUAAAUUAUUAUAAGGUAUAUAGAUACGAUAUAGAUUGUAUAGUCCACAUUACAUUUUAGAAUGAAAAAUUUAUCUUAUGUCUAAAAUAUCUUACCAUUCAAUAAACACAGCAUUGAUUGAUUUUCCAUUUAAACAUAAAUGUAAAAAGGAAAAAGUUUCCAUAUAUUAAUCUCGUUGAUGGUCUGGCUUGAUUUGUACCAUCCAUAUAGGACUUAUAGUCGGAUGUACGGAAGAACAGAAAGUGUCAAUGAAAAUGUGUUUCACUUUGGAUGUGCAAUGUUAUAUUAUCUGGUGGAGCGAAGUAGAACUUUUUGUAUCUUCUUUCGAAUUACAAUUCAAAUAUAAGUCAAUUUGGCUCCUUUGCAAUACAUCCAGGCUAUUGGAACUGCUUUCGUCUUCCGUUGGUUUAGUAUAUCCCUGAAACAAUGUAAGAUUCGUAGAUUAGUUAAGAGUUACGGAAGCCGUUGAAUUGUACAUCUAAUUGUACUGUCCUCAAAAAUAUAUUUUGUUUCAUGCUUUUAAGCGAUAUAAAGUACCUUUUCCGAAAUGAAAACAACAAUAAUUUAGAUAGCAUUGAUCACGAAAAUCAGUUUUAUUUCCAUAAUGUAAACUUGAAAUUUUAUAAUAAAUCACACACUAAUGACUACUAACAGAUUUAGCUUAUAUUGAUAGUUGAAACAAAUGACUAGGAAGAAUGAAGAAAGUGCUUCAACUACCUGAAUACUUAUAUAACUGAUCUCUGAGACGUAUGAAGUAUGCACGAACGAAUAUUUGUUGUACCACACUCGCUCGCGUAUUACUAGUUCAACAAUCACCGAAGGAAUGACCUGCAGCAUCAUCGCCGUCCUCCGAACGACGGUAUUUAUACCCCGCACAACGCUUUGGAUUCUUAACCCAGCGAACACGAUAGCGCCCUUUGCACAGGGUUAUUACACUUGACGUAGAUUAAUCAAUAUAUAGAAAGAACCAAGAUGCUCAUAAGUUACGAGGAAAUGAAUUUCUCUAUUGAUCUCUAUUAAUUGGAUGUAUCAUUAUUCUUCUUCUUGCUCUUCUAUGUUCUUCUGUCGUCUCUUUUUUCCCUUCCUUUUCUUUACAAUUUGAAAUUAGAAAUUAAUUAAAGAAUUCCGAAAAUUGUCAAAUUUGUUUUUUCUUGUUUUUUUCGUUAAAAGUAUUUACGAAUGAGAAUUAAUUUGGUGCAAAUAAUACUGUUUGACAAUUUUUUUUUGGUAUACCACUUUCUGUUCUUUGUCGAUUACUUAAUAUAACAAUCUCUUUUUUACACAUCUGUCUUUUUUUAAAACGCAUUAGUAAAGAAUAUGGAUUAAUACAAAAUCAUUCGUCACUUUUUUCCCCUAAUAUCAUCUUUAUCUCUUUUACGUAUUUUAUUUCGACACCAUUUACGUAAGUCAAUCAGAAUUUCCUAUUACGCGAUUGAACAAAGCGGAAAGACUUCAUUUGAUAUGGAUUGUGGGGAAAUGAAUUUCUUUAUGAAUAUAGAUUUAUCGACAGGUAGAUUUAUUGAACAGUCUACAUAGAGACUUGAAAUGAACCUGAGGAUGGUAUAUUUUACUUAUUAUAAUUAUUAUACUUAUUAAUAUUAUUAUUAUUAUACUUAUUAUUAUUGUAUCUAUUAUUAUAUCAAAAUAUAAGUUAUAAAUGUUGUAGAAA